Molecule: long non-coding RNA, 758 nt
Organism: Nannospalax galili (Upper Galilee mountains blind mole rat)
Lineage: Eukaryota; Metazoa; Chordata; Mammalia; Rodentia; Spalacidae
Exons: 2
Source: RefSeq, a predicted model, not a curated record
UCCAGAGGGGAUUCCCGGCCACCGCCAGGGCCGCGGAUUUUCCCGCUGGCUACGUGGGCAGCAGGGAGGAGCCCGGCCGUAAACUUCCUCCUGAGAUGGAGGCCCAAGUUGGGGGUGGAUGGGACCCCUUACGCCUAGAUCCAGAGGACAGGAACUGGAGCUGGACACCAGGGCGAGCACAGUGGUCCCUGGCAUCCAGGCUUUAGUCCCAGUGACUCAGCAGAUGGGCAGACCGAGUCAGGGAUGGCAGAUGUUGCCCGUCUCCUGGGAAUCGAAACUGGAAUUCCUCCUUCCUGCUCGCGACCCAGCCGGACUCCGCGAAUCCCUGCGUGCCCCUGCCCCACCCCCACCCCAGAUUUGUGCGUUUGGCCCUAAAAUUGGCUAGCUCAGGGAUUUGUAGGCUGGGCGGGCAAGCGAGUCCCUGGCCCCUCCUUCCCCUUUUCCCGUAGUCCUCGAGGUUCUGUUUACAACAGACCGGAGCCCUGGUUACAGGAGAGGAACCUAGGCGUCCGGGCUGAGCGUCCUCGUCACGGCUUCCAGGAAGCCCCUCUUCCCCGCCCUUGCGAGUGAGUCACCGGCGAGCGGGAGGCCGCAACCGUGCCAGAGCAGCUCGCGACCCGCCCAGCUCACGGGACCAGCCCAGGAAGGCCCCUCGGCCCCAGAAAGCGCAGCACUAGGGAUUCCCCCAGGGCUGCGCAGGCUUGGAGCCUGGCAGAAUCACCCCACCUCAAUACAAGUUGCUGUGCAGCCUACAAGAA